Long non-coding RNA from Pseudophryne corroboree (corroboree frog), 343 nucleotides. RefSeq lists it as uncharacterized. The record is from RefSeq and is a predicted model, not a curated record. The transcript is spliced from 3 exons. Lineage: Eukaryota; Metazoa; Chordata; Amphibia; Anura; Myobatrachidae.
CCUUACUUCCGGUCACUGCAUUCCGUUCCACACACAGGAAGAUCACGUGAUGGUUGGUUCUAAAUCGCGGUUCUAGCAGCUACCAUCAGGUUAACACAGUAGUGAAGAAGACUUCCGGUGAGUGUGAGACACCCAGCAGCCAUCACAUUGUGUGUAGGACUGAGCAGGACCCAGAGCCCCAUCACGGUGCCUCCAUCUCAGUCACUGACACAUGAGAGACCCAAUGAUCAGAAGAUCCUGGAACUCACCAACAAGAUCAUUCAGCUGCUGACUGGAGAGGAGGAGGAGUAUAUAGAGGAACACAGGGGUCUGUACAAGGACGUGAUGAUGGAGAAUCACCGGC